Molecule: long non-coding RNA, 431 nt
Filed under: Phoenix dactylifera (date palm)
Lineage: Eukaryota; Viridiplantae; Streptophyta; Magnoliopsida; Arecales; Arecaceae
Description: long non-coding RNA (PDAC_LNC006736)
Source: RNAcentral
UGAAAGGUUUCUAUGAUUCUUUUUUUUUUCCCACUGCGGAGGGAUCUGUUCCUCCUAUUUUUUAUGCUACUUGGAGGAGUGCAAUUCUGAAGAAGCUUAGAGAUAUUGGGAGGCUGUUGUUGAUUAAAAAGCUAUUAACAGUGGAGAAUCAAACAAAGAGGAACUGGAACUUGCCUUUGAGAUGUGUUCUGUGCUGAGCAUUAGGAAAUCGUGGGCUAUUUGUUCAUCAGUUGGAGAAUGGUGGCAGGUUCUAAGCAUUUCUGGCAUUUCUAUACAUUUGCUUAAUGUAUAGAAAUUACUUCUAUACAUUGAAUUAAUUAGCAAUUUAUUUAGAUUUUAUUUAUUAUUUAACUAAUAUUACUUCUUUUUGUGCAUACUAAGUAACAACAUGCUGCGAGGAAAACGAUUCAGAGAUGUUGAGUUUCAGCACA